GGGUCUCUGUGAUGAGAACAUGGAAUGUGCUCCCCUGUUGGGGCCCCGACCUCUCCGUGGGGAAUCAUUUCCAUGCUGCCUUCCUUCUGAAGGGCCC
This is a small nucleolar RNA of Petromyzon marinus (sea lamprey), 97 nucleotides long. RefSeq annotates it as small nucleolar RNA U83B. NCBI's taxonomy places the organism in Eukaryota, Metazoa, Chordata, Hyperoartia, Petromyzontiformes, Petromyzontidae. The record is from RefSeq and is a predicted model, not a curated record.